AUGGUUAAGCUAGAAAGGGCGCACGGUGAAUGCCUUGGCACUAGGAGCCGAUGAAGGACGGGACGAACACCGAAAUGCUUCGGGGAGCUGUAAGUAAGCUUUGAUCCGGAGAUAUCCGAAUGGGGGAACCCACCAUCCGUAAUGGGAUGGUAUCCAUACCUGAAUCCAUAGGGUAUGAGAAGGCAGACCUGGGGAACUGAAACAUCUUAGUACCCAGAGGAAGAGAAAGAAAAUUCGAUUUCCUGAGUAGCGGCGAGCGAAACGGAAAGAGCCCAAACCAAGAGGCUUGCCUCUUGGGGUUGUAGGACACUCCAUACGGAGUUACAAAGAAACGGCGUAGAUGAAGCGAUCUGGAAAGAUCCGCGAGACAAGGUAACAGCCCUGUAGUCGAAAUGUCGUUUCCUCCGGAGUGUAUCCUGAGUACGGCGGGACACGUGAAACCCCGUCGGAAUCUGGGAGGACCAUCUCCCAAGGCUAAAUACUCCCUAGUGACCGAUAGUGAACCAGUACCG
RNAcentral lists this ribosomal RNA (512 nucleotides) under Pseudomonas sp. 2822-15. RNAcentral's name for it is "bacterial LSU rRNA". It matches the Rfam family "Bacterial large subunit ribosomal RNA", at positions 1 to 503 of the family's 2925-position model. Lineage: Bacteria; Pseudomonadati; Pseudomonadota; Gammaproteobacteria; Pseudomonadales; Pseudomonadaceae. The record is from RNAcentral.